UGGGGAAUAUUGCACAAUGGGCGCAAGCCUGAUGCAGCCAUGCCGCGUGUAUGAAGAAGGCCUUCGGGUUGUAAAGUACUUUCAGCGAGGAGGAAGGCGUUGUGGUUAAUAACCGCAACGAUUGACGUUACUCUCAGAAGCAGCACCGGCUAACUCCGUGCCAGCAGCCGCGGUAAUACGGAGGGUGCAAGCGUUAAUCGGAAUUACUGGGCGUAAAUCGCACGCAGGCGGUCUGUCAAGUCGGAUGUGAAAUCCCCGGGCUCAACCUGGGAACUGCAUCCGAAACUGGCAGGCUAGAGUCUUGUAGAGGGGGGUAGAAUUCCAGGUGUAGCGGUGAAAUGCGUAGAGAUCUGGAGGAAUACCGGUGGCGAAGGCGGCCCCCUGGACAAAGACUGACGCUCAGGUGCGAAAGCGUGGGGAGCAAACA
This 427-nucleotide ribosomal RNA is filed under the name uncultured bacterium. RNAcentral describes it as "partial 16S ribosomal RNA". It matches the Rfam family "Bacterial small subunit ribosomal RNA", at positions 355 to 774 of the family's 1533-position model. The record is from RNAcentral.